This 326-nucleotide unclassified non-coding RNA is filed under the name Hevea brasiliensis (rubber tree). Lineage: Eukaryota; Viridiplantae; Streptophyta; Magnoliopsida; Malpighiales; Euphorbiaceae. The record is from RNAcentral.
AACCUCAUAUGUAACAUCAGUCAGUGAAUUCGCCGUGCAGAGCUCCUUGGCAGUCUGAAUUACUUGGGCUGCAAUCCUCUUCAGAUUAGAGUCCAAGUACGGAAACACGUCAACAACUCCUGCAGCCCCAACACCGACCGGACCGGGGAGCCCGAUGACAGGGCUCGGGAUGGGCUUGGCAUGGACGACGACUAGACUGAACUGAGCGGCGGAGCCGGCGGGGAAGAAGUGGCCGAGGGUCCACUGCAUGGCGUAGAAGCUGUGGUCGCUGUCAUCGAUCGCGAUUAUCAUCGCCGGCUUCGCCUCUUCCGCCAUCUCUCUCUGAG